UCUUUGCUUACCUGCUUGCUCAUUAGAAGUCACAUGCUGGUCACAAGAUGUUUGCUUCAGCUGCUUGUAUCUUUCUUCAUGGAAGGGAAAUGUUCAGCUGCUUGUGCUGCUUGGUGUGCUGAAGCAUGUCACCAGCUGUCUAACCUCAGCUUUGUCUUUUGUGGGAGAAAACCCUCACCUGAAACAACUUCUUAUGUUAUCAAACAUCAUCUUCUCUCUUCUGGUCGUCCAUAACCACAAGAAAAUCAGAGAGAAAGAGAGAAAGAAAGAGAGAAAAAUCUGCGAGGAAAAUACAUGAAAAAUUCAGAAAAAAAAAUAAGAGAAGAGAAGUGAGCUUGGACGACCCUUUCUCACCCUCUUCUGACUUUAAUCAGUGAGUAUUGGUGUGGUUAAGAGCUGAAUAUUUUGUGUCCUAAAGUUCAGAAUCAUCCAUGUUCUUCAGCCUUUGGGUUUUGAUCGGUUAGGAGUGGCUUCAACGAUAAGUUGUGUACCAUCUGAAUUCAGAAGAUUGUUGAUUUGAAUCGUUACCCGAGGAGAUUGGAAUGGUCAGCCCGUCAUGCCUUGUCUUUAUUCUGAAUAUGGAAGUGAAGAAGAAGUGGAGUGUGAUUAGCUUGAGCUCGAGUCUAGUCUUCCUUAGCCAAUCUCUUAGACUCAAAGGUGAGUCUAGAUAGAUGAGUAAUGAGUAGUGAAAAAAUAUUUCUUGAUUGAACAUACUGAAUGUAGAUGAUUGAUAGGCUUUGUCUCUUGAUCAAUAUUGAAUUGGCGAGGUGUUUACUUAGUGUAAACACUUAAUAAAUAUUUAUGAA
Molecule: long non-coding RNA, 806 nt
Organism: Brassica rapa (field mustard)
Lineage: Eukaryota; Viridiplantae; Streptophyta; Magnoliopsida; Brassicales; Brassicaceae
Source: RefSeq, a predicted model, not a curated record